UUGGAGGGCAAGUCUGGUGCCAGCAGCCGCGGUAAUUCCAGCUCCAAUAGUGUAUAUUAAAGUUGUUGCAGUUAAAAAGCUCGUAGUUGAAUUUCGGGAUUAGUACGCUGGUCGUGCCUUCGGUACGUACUGGUGUUACUGAUUUCUACCUUCUGACGAACCAUCAUGUCAUUAAUUUGGUGUGGUGGGGAAUCAGGACUGUUACUUUGAAAAAAUUAGAGUGUUUAAAGCAGGCUCGCGCUUGAAUACAUUAGCAUGGAAUAAUGAAAUAGGACGUUGAUCCUAUUUUGUUGGUUUCUAGGAUUGACGUAAUGAUUAAUAGGGAUAGUUGGGGGCAUUAGUAUUCAAUUGUCAGAGGUGAAAGUCUUGGAUUUAUUGAAGACUAACUACUGCGAAAGCAUUUGCCAAGGAUGUUUUCAUUAAUCAAGAACGAAAGUUAGGGGAUCGAAGACGAUCAGAUACCGUCGUAGUCUUAACCAUAAACUAUGCCGACUAGGGAUCGGAUGAUGUUAUUUUUAAUGACUCAUUCGGCGCCUUACGGGAAAC
This 546-nucleotide ribosomal RNA is filed under the name uncultured Glomeromycotina. RNAcentral's name for it is "SSU rRNA". It matches the Rfam family "Eukaryotic small subunit ribosomal RNA", at positions 548 to 1098 of the family's 1831-position model. The record is from RNAcentral. Lineage: Eukaryota; Fungi; Glomeromycota.